This 251-nucleotide unclassified non-coding RNA is filed under the name Hevea brasiliensis (rubber tree). The record is from RNAcentral. Lineage: Eukaryota; Viridiplantae; Streptophyta; Magnoliopsida; Malpighiales; Euphorbiaceae.
AGGUUCCAUAGGCAUCACACAAUCCAUUAGCAACAAUUGAUUAAUUUUUGUUAACUAAAAGUUGAAUGAUAAGCAUUACAAAGCAAAUGAUUUUAUGGACACAAAUCAUCCCAAAUUGCAACACUGACUGGAUUCCUAAAACAGGUUCUAGCUGUCUGAUAUUGUUUCAAAUCCCAUUUAUGCUGUCUCAUCUUAGGAAAUGGUAGAAAUAUUGGUGCCAUGGAUUCACGGCCAUUAUUUAAAGGUUUUUU